This 231-nucleotide unclassified non-coding RNA is filed under the name plant metagenome. RNAcentral's name for it is "partial contains small subunit ribosomal RNA, internal transcribed spacer 1, and 5.8S ribosomal RNA". The record is from RNAcentral.
UCUCCGUUGGUGAACCAGCGGAGGGAUCAUUACAGAGUUGCAAAACUCCCAAACCAUUGUGAACGUUACCUAUCCCGUUGCUUCGGCGGGCGGCCCGGGCCCCGCGCCCGGCGCCCCCCGGCCCCCCGUGGGCGCCCGCCAGAGGUAAACCAAACCCUUGAAUUGCAUGGCCUCUCUGAGUCUUCUGUACUGAAUAAGUCAAAACUUUCAACAACGGAUCUCUUGGUUCUG